Molecule: long non-coding RNA, 738 nt
Organism: Gordionus sp. m RMFG-2023
Lineage: Eukaryota; Metazoa; Nematomorpha; Gordioida; Chordodea; Parachordodidae
Exons: 3
Source: RefSeq, a predicted model, not a curated record
UUAUAACCGGAACUAGUUUUAAGAUAUAAAUUACUAAAUACUAAACUCUCAAUUAUUUUAUUUGUUAAAAUAAGAAUUAAUUAAAGCAAGUAAAUUUAUUUUUCAUCAUGAACAUCGUUCUGUGCCUUUCCCUGAUUUUAAUAGGAGUCUGUGUGUCUCUAGCACAACCAGUCGAUGAUCUAUGCCCACCUGACUCAAUCGUUCAGUGUUACGUAGAUCCAUGUUUAGGGCGGAGGUGUCCUCGCUAUCCACAAGCCGAGUGUAUAGCAACUUAUUGUUUUAGAUGUUCGUUCCGUUUUUCCUUAAAUGGGAUGCCAGUCAAAUGUUAUGACGGCCCGGGUCCUCCACAAGGUCCUUGAAAUGGCACGUAUUGGGUAAAACAAACAAAAAUAACGCCGAAAAUAUCCCCAUAAUUUUUUUUGAUAAAUAAUUAUAUUUGCACAGUACCUUUUCGUUAAAUAACUCAUUUAUACUAUAUCAAAGAUUUUAUUUGGAAUUGUCACUAUUUUCAUUAUACCACUUGGAAUUGUCACUAUUUUCAUUAUACCACUAUUUCAAAGAUUUUAUUUGGAAUUGUCACUAUUUUUAUUAUACCUCUUGGAAUUGUCACUAUUUUCAUUGUACCACUAUUUCAAAGAUUUUAUUUGGAAUUGUCACUAUUUUCAUUAUACCACUUGUAAAAUCACAUUUAUUAUUAUUUAAGAAAAAAUGCUAUAAAAAUAAAACUGCUUUCGCUUA